RNAcentral lists this ribosomal RNA (253 nucleotides) under uncultured bacterium. RNAcentral describes it as "partial 16S ribosomal RNA". It matches the Rfam family "Bacterial small subunit ribosomal RNA", at positions 524 to 776 of the family's 1533-position model. The record is from RNAcentral.
AACGUAGGUGGCCAGCGUUGCUCGGAAGUACUGGGCGUAAAGGGUCCGUAGGCGGUGUGGCAAGUCGGAAGUGAAAUCUCAGGGCUUAACCCUGAGGCUGCUUCUGAAACUGCCGUGCUAGAGUGCGAGAGAGGCGAGUGGAAUUGCAGGUGUAGCGGUGAAAUGCGUAGGUAUCUGCAGGAACACCCGAGGCGAAAGCGGCUCGCUGGAUCGCAACUGACGCUGAGGGACGAAUGCUAGGGGAACAAACAGG